Molecule: long non-coding RNA, 119 nt
Filed under: Bos indicus x Bos taurus (hybrid cattle)
Lineage: Eukaryota; Metazoa; Chordata; Mammalia; Artiodactyla; Bovidae
Description: lncRNA (ENSBIXG00005025183.1)
Source: RNAcentral
UGGAAGACAGAUGCUCCAGCCAUCACCCCUCCUCCCAUCGGAUUUCUCCCCAGGGCUCUGCAAUAACCAAAAUCAAAGUUUCCCAACUUUCCUUUAGCAAGUCACAGCAGAAGUUUGGC